CAGGGCGGGUGCUAUACAUGCAGUCGAACGCUUCUUUUUCCACCGGAGCUUGCUCCACCGGAAAAAGAAGAGUGGCGAACGGGUGAGUAACACGUGGGUAACCUGCCCAUCAGAAGGGGAUAACACUUGGAAACAGGUGCUAAUACCGUAUAACAAUCAAAACCGCAUGGUUUUGAUUUGAAAGGCGCUUUCGGGUGUCGCUGAUGGAUGGACCCGCGGUGCAUUAGCUAGUUGGUGAGGUAACGGCUCGCCAAGGCCACGAUGCAUAGCCGACCUGAGAGGGUGAUCGGCCACAUUGGGACUGAGACACGGCCCAAACUCCUACGGGAGGCAGCAGUAGGGAAUCUUCGGCAAUGGACGAAAGUCUGACCGAGCAACGCCGCGUGAGUGAAGAAGGUUUUCGGAUCGUAAAACUCUGUUGUUAGAGAAGAACAAGGAUGAGAGUAACUGUUCAUCCCUUGACGGUAUCUAACCAGAAAGCCACGGCUAACUACGUGCCAGCAGCCGCGGUAAUACGUAGGUGGCAAGCGUUGUCCGGAUUUAUUGGGCGUAAAGCGAGCGCAGGCGGUUUCUUAAGUCUGAUGUGAAAGCCCCCGGCUCAACCGGGGAGGGUCAUUGGAAACUGGGAGACUUGAGUGCAGAAGAGGAGAGUGGAAUUCCAUGUGUAGCGGUGAAAUGCGUAGAUAUAUGGAGGAACACCAGUGGCGAAGGCGGCUCUCUGGUCUGUAACUGACGCUGAGGCUCGAAAGCGUGGGGAGCAAACAGGAUUAGAUACCCUGGUAGUCCACGCCGUAAACGAUGAGUGCUAAGUGUUGGAGGGUUUCCGCCCUUCAGUGCUGCAGCUAACGCAUUAAGCACUCCGCCUGGGGAGUACGACCGCAAGGUUGAAACUCAAAGGAAUUGACGGGGGCCCGCACAAGCGGUGGAGCAUGUGGAUUAAUUCGAAGCAACGCGAAGAACCUUACCAGUCUUGACAUCCUUUGACCACUCUAGAGAUAGAGCUUCCCCUUCGGGGGCAAAGUGACAGGUGGUGCAUGGGUUGUCGUCAGCUCGUGUCGUGAGAUGUUGGGGUUAAGUCCCGCAACGAGCGCAACCCUUAUUGUUAGUUGCCAUCAUUCAGUUUGGGCACCUUCUAAGCA
RNAcentral lists this ribosomal RNA (1139 nucleotides) under uncultured bacterium. Its description in RNAcentral is "bacterial SSU rRNA". It matches the Rfam family "Bacterial small subunit ribosomal RNA", at positions 39 to 1146 of the family's 1533-position model. The record is from RNAcentral.